RNAcentral lists this ribosomal RNA (738 nucleotides) under Nocardiopsis alba. RNAcentral describes it as "bacterial SSU rRNA". It matches the Rfam family "Bacterial small subunit ribosomal RNA", at positions 22 to 763 of the family's 1533-position model. The record is from RNAcentral. Lineage: Bacteria; Bacillati; Actinomycetota; Actinomycetes; Streptosporangiales; Nocardiopsidaceae.
GCUCAGGACGAACGCUGGCGGCGUGCUUAACACAUGCAAGUCGAGCGGUAAGGCCCUUCGGGGUACACGAGCGGCGAACGGGUGAGUAACACGUGAGCAACCUGCCCCUGACUCUGGGAUAAGCGGUGGAAACGCCGUCUAAUACCGGAUACGACCUUCCGCCUCAUGGUGGAGGGUGGAAAGUUUUUUCGGUCAGGGAUGGGCUCGCGGCCUAUCAGCUUGUUGGUGGGGUAACGGCCUACCAAGGCGAUUACGGGUAGCCGGCCUGAGAGGGCGACCGGCCACACUGGGACUGAGACACGGCCCAGACUCCUGCGGGAGGCAGCAGUGGGGAAUAUUGCGCAAUGGGCGAAAGCCUGACGCAGCGACGCCGCGUGGGGGAUGACGGCCUUCGGGUUGUAAACCUCUUUUACCACCAACGCAGGCUCCGGGUUCUCUCGGGGUUGACGGUAGGUGGGGAAUAAGGACCGGCUAACUACGUGCCAGCAGCCGCGGUAAUACGUAGGGUCCGAGCGUUGUCCGGAAUUAUUGGGCGUAAAGAGCUCGUAGGCGGCGUGUCGCGUCUGCUGUGAAAGACCGGGGCUUAACUCCGGUUCUGCAGUGGAUACGGGCAUGCUAGAGGUAGGUAGGGGAGACUGGAAUUCCUGGUGUAGCGGUGAAAUGCGCAGAUAUCAGGAGGAACACCGGUGGCGAAGGCGGGUCUCUGGGCCUUACCUGACGCUGAGACGCGAAGACGAC